UGUGUGUUAGUGGAAGCGUCUGGAAAGGCGCGCGAUACAGGGUGACAGCCCCGUACACAAAAAUGCACAUGCUGUGAGCUCGAUGAGUAGGGCGGGACACGUGGUAUCCUGUCUGAAUAUGGGGGGACCAUCCUCCAAGGCUAAAUACUCCUGACUGACCGAUAGUGAACCAGUACCGUGAGGGAAAGGCGAAAAGAACCCCGGCGAGGGGAGUGAAAAAGAACCUGAAACCGUGUACGUACAAGCAGUGGGAGCCUCUUUAUGGGGUGACUGCGUACCUUUUGUAUAAUGGGUCAGCGACUUAUAUUCUGUAGCAAGGUUAACCGAAUAGGGGAGCCGAAGGGAAACCGAGUCUUAACUGGGCGUUAAGUUGCAGGGUAUAGACCCGAAACCCGGUGAUCUAGCCAUGGGCAGGUUGAAGGUUGGGUAACACUAACUGGAGGACCGAACCGACUAAUGUUGAAAAAUUAGCGGAUGACUUGUGGCUGGGGGUGAAAGGCCAAUCAAACCGGGAGAUAGCUGGUUCUCCCCGAAAGCUAUUUAGGUAGCGCCUCGUGAA
This 559-nucleotide ribosomal RNA is filed under the name Escherichia coli. Its description in RNAcentral is "partial 23S ribosomal RNA". It matches the Rfam family "Bacterial large subunit ribosomal RNA", at positions 323 to 888 of the family's 2925-position model. Lineage: Bacteria; Pseudomonadati; Pseudomonadota; Gammaproteobacteria; Enterobacterales; Enterobacteriaceae. The record is from RNAcentral.